RNAcentral lists this long non-coding RNA (487 nucleotides) under Camelus dromedarius (Arabian camel). Its description in RNAcentral is "lncRNA (ENSCDRG00005020395.1)". Lineage: Eukaryota; Metazoa; Chordata; Mammalia; Artiodactyla; Camelidae. The record is from RNAcentral.
CAGAAGGCUUGCUGUUACUGAAUCUCCUUCAGAAAACAGGGAGGGAUGUUGGCUUCUGUGGCUGCAUUACUGAUCUCUGAGGGGGCUGGUGGAGUUUGCUUUUGGACACUUGGUGUUUGGAGCCGGAGGGCACGGACUCCUUCCAGACUGCGCCAGUGCUCGGACGUCAGAGAGGGACGCGGACGCAGCUGCCUCCUGGGCUUAUUUUCGGAAGGGAGAUUGGCUGCAGUCAGUGACACGUGGGCAGCUGGUCCCCAGGUCUUCCUGACACCGAGGCCCAUGUGCUGACUGCCUUUCACAUGCAGGACUCACAUCUGCACGCAGAGCUGACCCAGGAGACUGAGGGUCUUGCCCAGAGUGAAGUCCAGACCUGCAAGGGAGGCAGCAGUUUCUGGUUAUACCCUGGGGAUCUGGGACUUCGAGGUAAGACAUUCUUCUGAUAUGCGAGGGUCGUUCAAAAACUACUGGGCAGCCUCCAGACAGGACA